RNAcentral lists this ribosomal RNA (1403 nucleotides) under uncultured bacterium. RNAcentral's name for it is "partial 16S ribosomal RNA". It matches the Rfam family "Bacterial small subunit ribosomal RNA". The record is from RNAcentral.
GGAAUUCGCCCUUAGAGUUUGAUCCUGGCUCAGGACGAACGCUGGCGGCGUGCUUAACACAUGCAAGUCGAGCGAAGUGUUCAAGACAGAUUUCUUCGGAUUGAAGUCUUGAAUAUCUUAGCGGCGAACGGGUGAGUAACGCGUGAGAAACCUGCCUUUCACAAAGGGAUAGCCUCGGGAAACUGGGAUUAAUACCUUAUGAUACUUCAAAUUCGCAUGAAAUUGAAGUUAAAGCGUAAAGCGGUGAAAGAUGGUCUCGCGUCCCAUUAGCUAGUUGGUAAGGUAACGGCUUACCAAGGCGACGAUCAGUAGCCGACCUGAGAGGGUGAUCGGCCACAUUGGAACUGAGACACGGUCCAAACUCCUACGGGAGGCAGCAGUGGGGAAUAUUGCACAAUGGGCGAAAGCCUGAUGCAGCAACGCCGCGUGAGCGAUGAAGGCCUUCGGGUCGUAAAGCUCUGUCCUCAAGGAAGAUAAUGACGGUACUUGAGGAGGAAGCCCCGGCUAACUACGUGCCAGCAGCCGCGGUAAUACGUAGGGGGCUAGCGUUAUCCGGAAUUACUGGGCGUAAAGGGUGCGUAGGUGGUUUCUUAAGUCAGAGGUGAAAGGCUACGGCUCAACCGUAGUAGGCCUUUGAAACUGGGAAACUUGAGUGCAGGAGAGGAGAGUGGAAUUCCUAGUGUAGCGGUGAAAUGCGUAGAUAUUAGGAGGAACGCCAGAGGCGAAGGCGACUUUCUGGCUAAACAUUGACGCUGAGACACGAAAGUGUGGGGAGCAAACAGGAUUAGAUACCCUGGUAGUCCACACCGUAAACGAUGGAUACUAGGUAUCGGCUGGAUGGCUGUCGGUGCCGAAGUUAACGCAUUAAGUAUCCCACCUGGGGAGUACGACCGCAAGGUUAAAACUCAAAGGAAUUGACGGGGGCCCGCACAAGCAGUGGAGUAUGUGGUUUAAUUCGAUGAUACGCGAGGAACCUUACCCGGGCUCGAACGGUGCAUGAAUAUACGAGAGAUUGUAUAGUCCUUCGGGACAUGUAUCGAGGUGCUGCAUGGUUGUCGUCAGCUCGUGCCGUGAGGUGUCGGCUUAAGUGCCAUAACGAGCGCAACCCUUGUCAUUAGUUGCCAUCAGGUCAAGCUGGGGACUUUAAUGAGACUGCCACCGUAAGGUGUGAGGAAGGGGGGGAGGACGUCAAAUCAGCACGGCCCUUAUGUCCGGGGCGACACACGUGUUACAAUGGGAGGUACAGAGGGCAGCUAUCCGGUGACGGAAUGCUAAUCUCCAAAACCUUUCUCAGUUCGGAUUGGAGUCUGCAACUCGACUCCAUGAAGGUGGAUUCGCUAGUAAUCGCGCAUCAGCCAUGGCGCGGUGAAUACGUUCCCGGGCCUUGCACACACCGCCCGUCA